AAUCAACGCUGGCGGCGUGCCUAACACAUGCAAGUCGAACGAGAAGGUGACUUCGGUCACUGGAUAGUGGCGUCCGGGUGAGUAACACGUAGGUAAUCUACCUUCGGGUGGGGAAUAACGUCUCGAAAGAGACGCUAAUACCGCAUAAUGCAGCGGCACCUAAUGGUGAUUAGUUGUUAAAGCGGGGGAGUCUUCGGACCUCGCGCCUGAAGAGGAGCCUGCGGCAGAUUAGCUAGUUGGUGAGGUAAUGGCUCACCAAGGCUUCGAUCUGUAGCUGGUCUGAGAGGACGGCCAGCCACACUGGCACUGACACACGGGCCAGACUCCUACGGGAGGCAGCAGUGGGGAAUCUUGCGCAAUGGGCGAAAGCCUGACGCAGCGACGCCGCGGUGGGGGAGUGAAGCUUCUCGGAGU
This 414-nucleotide ribosomal RNA is filed under the name uncultured bacterium. RNAcentral describes it as "bacterial SSU rRNA". It matches the Rfam family "Bacterial small subunit ribosomal RNA", at positions 32 to 424 of the family's 1533-position model. The record is from RNAcentral.